Long non-coding RNA from Macrobrachium nipponense, 1310 nucleotides. RefSeq lists it as uncharacterized. NCBI's taxonomy places the organism in Eukaryota, Metazoa, Arthropoda, Malacostraca, Decapoda, Palaemonidae. The transcript has 3 exons. The record is from RefSeq and is a predicted model, not a curated record.
UGUGACACGACAACAGAUAGAUGUAUGUGUAUUUCUGGUGACAGAAGUUCACUCGACGUGGUUCGGAAGCCACGUAAAGCCGUUGGUCCCAUUGUUGAAUAACCACUGGUUAUUCAAACAAACAAACAACUGAUAGAUGUAACCAGGCAUUUCGCUUUAAGGGCUGAAGGUAUUUCGAUUCAAUUCGUUUCAAUACAUCCAUAAGGCCGAUUCGAUACAACUCCUGUCUUUUGACAGCUCGGUCAAGUUAUUAAGUUGCCAAACAAAACACAAGCAAACGUCACAGUUUUAAACAAUUGAGGUCACCGCUUGUAACAAAACUCUUCUCUCUUAAUUUUCAAGACAAAUAUUUAAGUCCAGAUACAGCACUCGAUAAAUAAGUAAACCUAAUUCCUCAACAGGGAACGUACCUGUUACUCAGUAAAGCGAAAUUUGCUACAUUGUCUAUUAUUGCAAAUUUAUCUUUCCAAGAUAAUCGGUUAAGUACGACAUUCGUCUUUGGAACAAUCAUGUCUCGUCAGUCAGUCACUGAGAACCGCUUUGCUAAGCGUCUUAUUUAUGGUACUUGUUUUUGUUUUGUGCGGUAAAUUAGCAUCUCGAAGUCAAUCAAUUAAUUUUACCCUUGAAAAUUUAGAUUUCCGAGAUUGAGACUUAAAAACAAUUCAAAACUAAAGAGUAAUUUAUGAGAGUUGUGAAACAUACAAAGCAUUUGAAUGAUGUAAACUUAGUUCUAAUCGUAAGAGAUUUUUGUAAAUGUCAGAUACGUGCCUAUGAAUCAAACGUAGGCGAUACAAUUUUGAUAAAGAUACACGUAAAUAUUUAAAGAAAUAAGUUUGUUUCAAUUGUUUGUGUGGAAACGAACGCAGCUGUCUGUAUCAGAUCGUCUUGAUGGAUGUAUUGAAAUUGAAAAUAUGUAAACACGAUAGGGAGGCGGGCAGGAGUCGACGAUUGAAUUCGGUGUCCAGCAGGCAUGAAGGUUCAGAGACUUGGGAGAGCAGGCAUCCACAAAAUGCUGGAAAGUAACAAAUACUGGAAGGACGCCUCUCUAGACCUUACUUGUAGCUUGGCGGAAAACUUGCCAAUGCUGGGAAUUUACUUAGACCCAGAUGUGGUGGAGGAGAAGGUCAUUGAUUUAAAUGACAUCAGUUUUGCAGAAGAAGAAGCAACACCAAUCGCGCAGGUAGGCUCCACCCCUCACGGUACUGUGGGCUGGUUGUGGAUUGGUGGUAAGUACAGGCGGUGUGGGAUGGGAAGACUCCUCGUUAAGGUGAUGAGUCGACUCCAGAUGUCUGAGGGGUAUUUUCCUCAUG